RNAcentral lists this ribosomal RNA (482 nucleotides) under uncultured Streptomyces sp. Its description in RNAcentral is "partial 16S ribosomal RNA". The record is from RNAcentral. Lineage: Bacteria; Bacillati; Actinomycetota; Actinomycetes; Kitasatosporales; Streptomycetaceae.
CACGUAGUUAGCCGGCGCUUCUUCUGCAGGUACCGUCACUUGCGCUUCUUCCCUGCUGAAAGAGGUUUACAACCCGAAGGCCGUCAUCCCUCACGCGACGUCGCUGCAUCAGGCUUUCGCCCAUUGUGCAAUAUUCCCCACUGCUGCCUCCCGUAGGAGUCUGGGCCGUGUCUCAGUCCCAGUGUGGCCGGUCGCCCUCUCAGGCCGGCUACCCGUCGUCGCCUUGGUAGGCCAUUACCCCACCAACAAGCUGAUAGGCCGCGGGCUCAUCCUUCACCGCCGGAGCUUUCAACCCCCGACCCAUGCAGGCAGAAGUAUUAUCCGGUAUUAGACCCCGUUUCCAGGGCUUGUCCCAGAGUGAAGGGCAGAUUGCCCACGUGUUACUCACCCGUUCGCCACUAAUCCACCCCGAAAGGCUUCAUCGUUCGACUUGCAUGUGUUAAGCACGCCGCCAGCGUCGUCCUGAGCCGCGAGUCAACUAC